Molecule: ribosomal RNA, 1373 nt
Filed under: uncultured bacterium
Lineage: Bacteria
Description: bacterial SSU rRNA
Rfam family: Bacterial small subunit ribosomal RNA
Source: RNAcentral
GAUGAACGCUGGCGGCGUGCCUAAUACAUGCAAGUCGAGCGAACGGACGAGAAGCUUGCUUCUCUGAUGUUAGCGGCGGACGGGUGAGUAACACGUGGAUAACCUACCUAUAAGACUGGGAUAACUUCGGGAAACCGGAGCUAAUACCGGAUAAUAUUUUGAACCGCAUGGUUCAAAAGUGAAAGACGGUCUUGCUGUCACUUAUAGAUGGAUCCGCGCUGCAUUAGCUAGUUGGUAAGGUAACGGCUUACCAAGGCAACGAUGCAUAGCCGACCUGAGAGGGUGAUCGGCCACACUGGAACUGAGACACGGUCCAGACUCCUACGGGAGGCAGCAGUAGGGAAUCUUCCGCAAUGGGCGAAAGCCUGACGGAGCAACGCCGCGUGAGUGAUGAAGGUCUUCGGAUCGUAAAACUCUGUUAUUAGGGAAGAACAUAUGUGUAAGUAACUGUGCACAUCUUGACGGUACCUAAUCAGAAAGCCACGGCUAACUACGUGCCAGCAGCCGCGGUAAUACGUAGGUGGCAAGCGUUAUCCGGAAUUAUUGGGCGUAAAGCGCGCGUAGGCGGUUUUUUAAGUCUGAUGUGAAAGCCCACGGCUCAACCGUGGAGGGUCAUUGGAAACUGGAAAACUUGAGUGCAGAAGAGGAAAGUGGAAUUCCAUGUGUAGCGGUGAAAUGCGCAGAGAUAUGGAGGAACACCAGUGGCGAAGGCGACUUUCUGGUCUGUAACUGACGCUGAUGUGCGAAAGCGUGGGGAUCAAACAGGAUUAGAUACCCUGGUAGUCCACGCCGUAAACGAUGAGUGCUAAGUGUUAGGGGGUUUCCGCCCCUUAGUGCUGCAGCUAACGCAUUAAGCACUCCGCCUGGGGAGUACGACCGCAAGGUUGAAACUCAAAGGAAUUGACGGGGGCCCGCACAAGCGGUGGAGCAUGUGGUUUAAUUCGAAGCAACGCGAAGAACCUUACCAAAUCUUGACAUCCUUUGACAACUCUAGAGAUAGAGCCUUCCCCUUCGGGGGGGCAAAGUGACAGGUGGUGCAUGGUUGUCGUCAGCUCGUGUCGUGAGAUGUUGGGUUAAGUCCCGCAACGAGCGCAACCCUUAAGCUUAGUUGCCAUCAUUAAGUUGGGCACUCUAAGUUGACUGCCGGUGACAAACCGGAGGAAGGUGGGGAUGACGUCAAAUCAUCAUGCCCCUUAUGAUUUGGGCUACACACGUGCUACAAUGGACAAUACAAAGGGCAGCGAAACCGCGAGGUCAAGCAAAUCCCAUAAAGUUGUUCUCAGUUCGGAUUGUAGUCUGCAACUCGACUACAUGAAGCUGGAAUCGCUAGUAAUCGUAGAUCAGCAUGCUACGGUGAAUACGUUCCCGGGUCU